UCAGACGAUGCGUCAUGCAUAUCAAUAAGCGGAGGAAAAGAAACUAACAAGGAUUCCCCUAGUAACGGCGAGUGAAGCGGGAAGAGCUCAAAUUUGAAAUCUUAAAGGGUUUCCCUUUACGAAUUGUAGUUUAAAGAAGUGUUUUCUGUUGAGGUUUUGGUAAAAGUUCUUUGGAAUAGGACAUCAUAGAGGGUGAGAAUCCCGUAUUUGACCUUUACUUUCAACUUUGUGAUACACUUUCAAAGAGUCGGAUUGUUUGGGAAUGCAGUCCAAAAUGGGUGGUAAAUUUCAUUUAAAGCUAAAUAUUGGCGAGAGACCGAUAGCGAACAAGUACCGUGAGGGAAAGAUGAAAAGAACUUUGAAAAGAGAGUUAAACAGUACGUGAAAUUGUCAAAAGGGAAGCGUUUGACACCAGUGUUGUUUUUCUGAAAAUCAAUUAAAGAACUGUUUAUGCUAAGCUGUUUAGACUUUAUCAGCUAUCUGUUUAGUUUUAGGCUUUUCUUUAAUGCACUUUUCAGUUAACAAGUCAACAUCAAUUUCUUUUGCUGUAAAAAAGCUUGAGGAAGGUGGCUUGAGAUUCGUCUUAAGUGUUUAUAGCCUCUUGCCUAUGCAGUCGGAGAGAUUGAGGUCUGCAGCGUAGAUCCUUCGGGGCUAAAUGUAUUUGUGCUAAGUUAUAGCAUUUCAUAGACAACUUGUUGACUAUGAUUUGUCUUGUAGCUUACUCGCUUAUGUUAUUUUACCUACGCUUAGGAUGUUGACACACGCGCGUGCUCG
RNAcentral lists this ribosomal RNA (774 nucleotides) under uncultured Neocallimastigales. RNAcentral describes it as "partial large subunit ribosomal RNA". It matches the Rfam family "Eukaryotic large subunit ribosomal RNA", at positions 18 to 643 of the family's 3401-position model. The record is from RNAcentral. Lineage: Eukaryota; Fungi; Neocallimastigomycota; Neocallimastigomycetes; Neocallimastigales.